This 292-nucleotide ribosomal RNA is filed under the name uncultured bacterium. Its description in RNAcentral is "partial 16S ribosomal RNA". It matches the Rfam family "Bacterial small subunit ribosomal RNA", at positions 505 to 796 of the family's 1533-position model. The record is from RNAcentral.
GUGUCAGCAGCCGCGGUAACACGUAGGGUGCGAGCGUUGUCCGGAAUUAUUGGGCGUAAAGAGCUCGUAGGCGGUCCGUCACGUCGGAUGUGAAAUUCCAGGGCUCAACCCUGGACCUGCAUUCGAUACGGGCGGACUAGAGUUCGGUAGGGGAGACUGGAAUUCCUGGUGUAGCGGUGAAAUGCGCAGAUAUCAGGAGGAACACCGGUGGCGAAGGCGGGUCUCUGGGCCGAUACUGACGCUGAGGAGCGAAAGCGUGGGGAGCGAACAGGAUUAGAAACCCCUGUAGUCC